RNAcentral lists this ribosomal RNA (576 nucleotides) under uncultured bacterium. Its description in RNAcentral is "bacterial SSU rRNA". It matches the Rfam family "Bacterial small subunit ribosomal RNA", at positions 393 to 961 of the family's 1533-position model. The record is from RNAcentral.
AAUGCCGCGUGAGUGAAGAAGGCCCUCGGGUUGUACAGCUCUUUUGUCUCGGGAUAACAGGUCUGGCUAAUAUCCAGCAGCUGCUGCCUCCCGCCUGGAGUAUAAGCACCGGUCUAACUACGUGCCAGCAGCCGCGGUAAUACGUAGGGUGCAAGCGUUAAUCGGAAUUACUGGGCGUAAAGCGUGCGCAAGCGGUUUAUAAGUCUGAUGUGAAAUCCCCGGGCUCAACCUGGGAACUGCAUUGGAGACUGUAAAGCUAAAGUGUGUCAGAGGGGGGUAGAAUUCCACGUGUAGCAGUGAAAUGCGUAGAUAUGUGGAGGAAUACCGAUGGCGAAGGCAGGCCCCUGGGAUAACACUGACGCUCAUGCACGAAAGCGUGGGGAGCAAACAGGAUUAGAUACCCUGGUAGUCCACGCCCUAAACGAUGUCAACUAGUAGUCGGGUCUUAAUUGACUUGGUAACGCAGCUAACGCGUGAAGUUGACCGCCUGGGGAGUACGGUCGCAAGAUUAAAACUCAAAGGAAUUGACGGGGACCCGUACAAGCGGUGGAUGAUGUGGAUUAAUUCGAUGCAACG